CUCUCCUCCACUCCCCAUCGCGCCCCUCUCCUCCAAUCCCCGCAGCCAAAGACGAGAUCUCGCCCUUCGCCGAGCUUGCCACCAUCGCUGCUCUCCCCUCGCCAUCGCCGGGAGGAGUAUGCAGGCCGCCGCUCGUGUCGUUUCUCCGCAGCCGCCACCGCCCCCUUCCCUUCCAAGCCCGCGGAGAUGACGGCGCCAGCGCUGGCGCUCGCGGUGGUCGGGUACUGGGCUGCCCGACAGCCACGGGGCUAGGACGCUCUACGUCGCCAGGGACCUCAACCUGUCGACGGCGGGGACUGAGUCGCCGCCGCAUCAUCUUCUCCUUCUCCCCAACACCGCAUGAGUGCGGGUCGCCGUCGCACCAGAUGAGAUGGGGCUGCAACCACGCCCCCUUCACCUCUUCUACCCAGCCGUGCCACUCGGGACGACAAGAUACAGCCGCGGCGGCCGAGAUCCAGUUGGUUGCCAUCGAUAUGAGGAACGCUCGUGCCGCUGCUCCGCCGUUCGUCGUCCACUUGGCCGCAACCAUCCACAAGAAGAGGUGAUGUCACGACAGCAGGGUCCUCACCUGUCUCCGCUCCCUCGUCUCCCCCUUCUGCUGGCAAGGGUGCUGAGCAGCAACAAUUCCAUCUCCCUCCCCAACACAUCCUUGCCUCAUCUUGAUCUGCAAUGAACCAGAGCCCAGAGAGAGAUUUGAUAUGAUGAUUGAGGUAGAAAGCAUGGAUUGUUUGGGGCUCCUCUCAAAUAAGCUUCUUAAUUAAGAGAUGAAUACAGUCGGAGCCUGGGAUUUUUAUACACAGAGAUGGUGCAUAAAUAAGCAAAACAAAAAAUGUGCCAAUGCUUUGCCAGAAUUUCGUUGGUCCUCUCAAGAUUGUGGCCAAACCAAGAUUGAAUUUAGAGAUGUUUCAUAUGCUUGGCCGUUGACACACCUCUCUUCAAGGCAAGGUAAUUUCCAAGGAAAACAACAUGAAUGAGAUUAAUAGAUUUAAUGAAGAGAUAUGCCAGGAUUAGGCGGAGAUGAUGAAAGGCUUUGUAAAAGUCAGAUCUCUGUGAUUUAUAUAUGUGCUCACGAGGACAUUCCCAUUGCAUCUGAAUUGACAAGUUGAAGAAUCUGGUCUUUUUGUGCUUGCCUACAAAACUGUCAUAUCUUAUAUUUGUUGGUCAAAUAAAAACGAAUGAUGGUUGAUUGUCUCGACUAUGAAUGAGCAUUUCUGGAUUGUAGAACAAAGAGUGUCCCGGGCAAAAGGACCAAGUUUUGGCGGGUGGGUGUCGGGAGUCUAGUUGGUUGGCUUCAGCCUUUGAGGUGCUGCAGGCUAGCGGUGCCGCCUCUGAGUGUCUCCUCGUCUCACUCCCUUGGCACCUUCGGCCGGUUCAAGUGAAGUGCCACCUGUGAAGUUGAUUGACAAGGUAGUUGAAUGAAGCCACUUAUUAGCACCUUGCUUGCUCUUCUUUCUUUUUGGAGCCAAAAGAUCCAUCGGCGCUCCACUACUGGGCUUUGAUUUGAAGAGACUGCUGGGAAAGGCUAUCUCGGUCAUCUUCCGUCUGAUACAUAGGUCAAACCAGGACUCACACACUCUCUCGCCGAUAUUUCCCUUCGCUCCCGUGAAUACAUCA
Long non-coding RNA from Triticum dicoccoides, 1614 nucleotides. RefSeq lists it as uncharacterized. The record is from RefSeq and is a predicted model, not a curated record. The transcript has 6 exons. NCBI's taxonomy places the organism in Eukaryota, Viridiplantae, Streptophyta, Magnoliopsida, Poales, Poaceae.